CCUACGGGGGGCAGCAGUAGGGAAUCUUCCGCAAUGGACGAAAGUCUGACGGAGCAACGCCGCGUGAACGAUGAAGGUCUUCGGAUCGUAAAGUUCUGUUGUUAGGGAAGAACAAGUACCGUGCGAAUAGAGCGGUACCUUGACGGUACCUAACGAGGAAGCCCCGGCUAACUACGUGCCAGCAGCCGCGGUAAUACGUAGGGGGCAAGCGUUGUCCGGAAUUAUUGGGCGUAAAGCGCGCGCAGGCGGUUCCUUAAGUCUGAUGUGAAAGCCCACGGCUCAACCGUGGAGGGUCAUUGGAAACUGGGGAACUUGAGGACAGAAGAGGAGAGUGGAAUUCCACGUGUAGCGGUGAAAUGCGUAGAUAUGUGGAGGAACACCAGUGGCGAAGGCGACUCUCUGGUCUGUUUCUGACGCUGAGGUGCGAAAGCGUGGGUAG
RNAcentral lists this ribosomal RNA (439 nucleotides) under uncultured Halobacillus sp. Its description in RNAcentral is "bacterial SSU rRNA". It matches the Rfam family "Bacterial small subunit ribosomal RNA", at positions 338 to 768 of the family's 1533-position model. The record is from RNAcentral. Lineage: Bacteria; Bacillati; Bacillota; Bacilli; Caryophanales; Bacillaceae.